UUAAGUCCCGUAACGAGCGCAACCCUUGUCCUUAGUUACCAGCACGUUAUGGUGGGCACUCUAAGGAGACUGCCGGUGACAAACCGAGGAAGUGGGGAUGACGUCAAGUCAUCAUGGCCCUUACGGCCUGGGCUACACACGUGCUACAAUGGUCGGUACAAAGGGUUGCCAAGCCGCGAGGUGGAGCUAAUCCCAUAAAACCGAUCGUAGUCCGGAUCGCAGUCUGCAACUCGACUGCGUGAAGUCGGAAUCGCUAGUAAUCGUGAAUCAGAAUGUCACGGUGAAUACGUUCCCGGGCCUU
This 301-nucleotide ribosomal RNA is filed under the name uncultured Pseudomonas sp. Its description in RNAcentral is "bacterial SSU rRNA". It matches the Rfam family "Bacterial small subunit ribosomal RNA", at positions 1080 to 1382 of the family's 1533-position model. The record is from RNAcentral. Lineage: Bacteria; Pseudomonadati; Pseudomonadota; Gammaproteobacteria; Pseudomonadales; Pseudomonadaceae.